AUUGAACGCUGGCGGCAUGCUUUACACAUGCAAGUCGAACGGUAACAGGGUGCUUGCACCGCUGACGAGUGGCGAACGGGUGAGUAAUGCGUCGGAACGUGCCGAGUAGUGGGGGAUAACGCAGCGAAAGUUGUGCUAAUACCGCAUACGUACUGAGGUAGAAAGUGGGGGACCUUCGGGCCUCACGCUAUUCGAGCGGCCGACGUCUGAUUAGCUAGUAGGUGAGGUAAAGGCUCACCUAGGCGACGAUCAGUAGCGGGUCUGAGAGGAUGGUCCGCCAAACUGGGACUGAGACACGGCCCAGACUCCUACGGGAGGCAGCAGUGGGGAAUUUGGGACAAUGGGCGAAAGCCUGAUCCAGCCAUGCCGCGUGUCUGAAGAAGGCCUUCGGGUUGUAAAGGACUUUUGUCAGGGAGGAAAUCCCUAGUGCUAAUAACACUGGGGGAUGACAGUACCUGAAGAAUAAGCACCGGCUAACUACGUGCCAGCAGCCGCGGUAA
Molecule: ribosomal RNA, 500 nt
Filed under: uncultured bacterium
Lineage: Bacteria
Description: partial 16S ribosomal RNA
Rfam family: Bacterial small subunit ribosomal RNA
Source: RNAcentral